AUGGAUCUCGUUCUGUCACCAGGCUGGAGUGCAGUGGUGUGACCUUGGCUCACUGAAACCCCACCUCCUGGUUCAAGCUAUUCUCCUGCCUCAGCCUCCCAAGUAGCUGGGAUUACAGGUGUACACCACCAUGCCCAGGUCCACAGCCAAGGGAGGUGCAAGUGUGUGUCCACAAAGAGACUUUUGUGUGUUCAUUCCCAAUCUGGAAAUGACACAGCUGCCCACUGACGGAAGACAAGAUAGACAAAUUCAGAAGCGGAGAGGACCAUUAGCCAGCAGUGGAAGGCAGACGGCGGCGGCUUCAGCUGGGGAAGGCACAGGGGACGCAGGACGGAUCGCUUGGUGGACUCGUGCGCAAGAACUCGAGGCAAUGCGGCUGGACUGUGGUGAAGACAGAGCUCCAGGAAGGUCAGGGCUGCCUGGAUGGGUGACUGGGAGUCAAGGGGAACCUGGGAGAUGGUGGCUCCCAUGAAGGAGACAGAGAGGAGCUUCCUAGCUGUGCAGGAGAAGCUGAGGCAUACAGUGUGCUGCUGUGGCUUCAGGGCCCGUGGGCAGUGGUCUGGUGGCUGCCUCUCACUCCCCACCCCCAGACACCUCCUCAGCCACAGGGAGAGGGAUAGAUUCUACUGCCGUGUCAAUGGCUCCACUGCCUGGCCUGACUCUUCGGUGGCACUGCCAGAGUCCAGAGUCCUCUGGGUGUGUGCUCAUGCUCGGAUGCAUAGCUGGGAGCCUGAGAAUUAAGUGGCGUGCAGCCAGGGCUACUCAGCUCAGGUCCCGGGUGGUCCUGUGGAGAGACUGUGACUCACCGGCCACUGGGGUGACUCAGGGGCCAAGGCUGUGCAUUGUCAUCACUGCCAUGAAACCUCUGACGCUGCUCGGCCAUGCUGUUGGAAGACUCCAGUGCGUCAGACUGAAAGAACUCACCUGGAGUUCAGGCACUCUGGAUUUGGGUUUUCCUCUGUAGUCAGAGCAAAGGAAUGAUAGCUUCAAAGAAGGCAGCAUGACUAGAGUUUGACAUUAUUUAGUGGGAAUUGGAGCACUGGUGAAGGCUUUGAGCCAGGAGUGGGCUGAGCGAGUGUGGCUUGUAGGGUCGGUGUCUGCAGCUGGGAACGGUGGUGCAGAGCAGUGGGAGUAGGUGGCAUCACUGGCCGGGGCAAGACCUGCACUGAG
Long non-coding RNA from Cebus imitator (Panamanian white-faced capuchin), 1170 nucleotides. NCBI's taxonomy places the organism in Eukaryota, Metazoa, Chordata, Mammalia, Primates, Cebidae. The record is from Ensembl.